This 169-nucleotide ribosomal RNA is filed under the name uncultured bacterium. Its description in RNAcentral is "partial 16S ribosomal RNA". It matches the Rfam family "Bacterial small subunit ribosomal RNA", at positions 337 to 522 of the family's 1533-position model. The record is from RNAcentral.
GCCUACGGGAGGCAGCAGUGGGGAAUAUUGGACAAUGGGGGCAACCCUGAUCCAGCAAUGCCGCGUGGAUGAUGAAGGCCUUCGGGUUGUAAAGUCCUUUCGGCGGGGAAGAUGAUGACGGUACCCGCAGAAGAAGCCCCGGCUAACUCCCGUGCCAGCAGCCGCGGUC